RNAcentral lists this unclassified non-coding RNA (211 nucleotides) under plant metagenome. RNAcentral's name for it is "partial contains small subunit ribosomal RNA, internal transcribed spacer 1, and 5.8S ribosomal RNA". The record is from RNAcentral.
UUUCCGUGGGUGAACCUGCGGAAGGAUCAUUCAUAAUAAAGUGUUUUAUGGCACUUUUUAAAAAUCCAUAUCCACCUUGUGUGCAAUGUUAGAUCUCGUCAAUCUUGGCGAGAUUUUUAUACAUCAACUCAUUUUUUAACUAAUUUGUCUGAAAAAUAUUAUGAAUACUUAAUUCAAAAUACAACUUUCAACAACGGAUCUCUUGGCUCUC